This 250-nucleotide ribosomal RNA is filed under the name uncultured bacterium. RNAcentral's name for it is "partial 16S ribosomal RNA". It matches the Rfam family "Bacterial small subunit ribosomal RNA", at positions 524 to 772 of the family's 1533-position model. The record is from RNAcentral.
UACGGAGGGUGCGAGCGUUGUCCGGAAUCACUGGGCGUAAAGGGCGCGUAGGUGGCUCAUCAAGUGUGUGGUGAAAGCCCGGAGCUUAACUCCGGGUCUGCCGUGCAAACUGGUGUGGCUAGAGGACUGUAGAGGCAGGUAGAAUUCCGGGUGUAGCGGUGGAAUGCGUAGAGAUCCGGAAGAAUACCGGUGGCGAAGGCGGCCUGCUGGGCAGUUUCUGACACUGAGGCGCGACAGCGUGGGGAGCAAA